Molecule: ribosomal RNA, 461 nt
Filed under: uncultured bacterium
Lineage: Bacteria
Description: bacterial SSU rRNA
Rfam family: Bacterial small subunit ribosomal RNA
Source: RNAcentral
UACUCGAAAGAGUGGCUAAUACCGCAUACGCCCUACGGGGGAAAGGGGGGGAUCGCAAGACCUCUCACUAUUGGAGCGGCCGAUAUCGGAUUAGCUAGUUGGUGGGGUAAAGGCUCACCAAGGCAACGAUCCGUAGCUGGUUUGAGAGGACGACCAGCCACACUGGGACUGAGACACGGCCCAGACUCCUACGGGAGGCAGCAGUGGGGAAUUUUGGACAAUGGGGGAAACCCUGAUCCAGCCAUCCCGCGUGUAUGAUGAAGGCCUUCGGGUUGUAAAGUACUUUUGGCAGAGAAGAAAAGGUAUCCCCUAAUACGGGAUACUGCUGACGGUAUCUGCAGAAUAAGCACCGGCUAACUACGUGCCAGCAGCCGCGGUAAUACGUAGGGUGCAAGCGUUAAUCGGAAUUACUGGGCGUAAAGCGUGUGUAGGCGGUUCGGAAAGAAAGAUGUGAAAUCCCA